RNAcentral lists this ribosomal RNA (275 nucleotides) under uncultured bacterium. RNAcentral's name for it is "partial 16S ribosomal RNA". It matches the Rfam family "Bacterial small subunit ribosomal RNA", at positions 332 to 605 of the family's 1533-position model. The record is from RNAcentral.
CGUUGCCUACGGGGCGCAGCAGUGAGGAAUAUUGGUCAAUGGCCGCAGGGCUGAACCAGCCAAGUCGCGUGAGGGAUGACGGUCCUAUGGAUUGUAAACCUCUUUUGUCAGGGAGCAAAGGGCGCCACGUGUGGCGUUUUGCGAGUACCUGAAGAAAAAGCAUCGGCUAACUCCGUGCCAGCAGCCGCGGUAAUACGGAGGAUGCGAGCGUUAUCCGGAUUUAUUGGGUUUAAAGGGUGCGCAGGCGGUCUGUUAAGUCAGCGGUCAAAGCCCGG